GCGCCCGUAGCUCAGGGGACAGAGUGUUGGGUUGCGGACCCAAAGGUCGGAGGUUCAAAUCCUCCCGGGCGUACCA
RNAcentral lists this transfer RNA (76 nucleotides) under Chloroflexota bacterium. RNAcentral's name for it is "Chloroflexi bacterium (sediment metagenome) tRNA-Arg". It matches the Rfam family "tRNA". From Rfam's summary of the family: Transfer RNA (tRNA) molecules are approximately 80 nucleotides in length. Their secondary structure includes four short double-helical elements and three loops (D, anti-codon, and T loops). Lineage: Bacteria; Bacillati; Chloroflexota. RNAcentral also lists the same sequence under 2 other names. The record is from RNAcentral.